UACAGAGGGUGCGAGCGUUGUCCGGAAUCACUGGGCGUAAAGGGCGCGUAGGUGGCGGCCCAAGUCCGUGGUGAAAGCUCGCCGCUUAACGGCGAGUCGGCCACGGAGACUGGGUGGCUCGAGCACUGUAGGGGCAGAUGGAAUUCCGGGUGUAGCGGUGGAAUGCGUAGAGAUCCGGAAGAACACCAGUGGCGAAGGCGACACGCUGGGCCGUACCUGACACUGAUGCGCGACAGCAUGGGGAGCAAACAGG
Molecule: ribosomal RNA, 253 nt
Filed under: uncultured bacterium
Lineage: Bacteria
Description: partial 16S ribosomal RNA
Rfam family: Bacterial small subunit ribosomal RNA
Source: RNAcentral